RNAcentral lists this ribosomal RNA (251 nucleotides) under uncultured prokaryote. RNAcentral describes it as "partial 16S ribosomal RNA". It matches the Rfam family "Bacterial small subunit ribosomal RNA", at positions 525 to 775 of the family's 1533-position model. The record is from RNAcentral.
ACGGAGGGUGCAAGCGUUAAUCGGAAUCACUGGGCGUAAAGCGCUCGUAGGCGGUUUGGUCAGUCAGAUGUGAAAGCCCUCGGCUUAACCGGGGAACUGCAUUUGAUACUGCCAGACUUGAGUGUCGGAGAGGGUGGCGGAAUUCCGGGUGUAGGAGUGAAAUCCGUAGAUAUCCGGAGGAACACCAGUGGCGAAGGCGGCCACCUGGACGACAACUGACGCUGAGGAGCGAAAGCGUGGGGAGCAAACAG